Molecule: ribosomal RNA, 395 nt
Filed under: uncultured bacterium
Lineage: Bacteria
Description: bacterial SSU rRNA
Rfam family: Bacterial small subunit ribosomal RNA
Source: RNAcentral
UCUUGGACAAUGGGCGCAAGCCUGAUCCAGCCAUGCCGCGUGAGUGAAGAAGGCCUUAGGGUUGUAAAGCUCUUUUGGCAGGGACGAUAAUGACGGUACCUGCAGAAUAAGCCCCGGCAAACUUCGUGCCAGCAGCCGCGGUAAUACGAAGGGGGCUAGCGUUGUUCGGAUUUACUGGGCGUAAAGCGCACGUAGGCGGAUUGUUAAGUCAGGGGUGAAAUCCCGGAGCUCAACUCCGGAACUGCCUUUGAUACUGGCAAUCUUGAGGCUGGAAGAGGUUGGUAGAAUUCCCAGUGUAGAGGUGAAAUUCGUAGAUAUUGGGAAGAAUACCAGUGGCGAAGGCGGCCAACUGGUCCAGAUCCGACGCUGAGGUGCGAAAGCGUGGGGAGCAAACA